This 253-nucleotide ribosomal RNA is filed under the name uncultured bacterium. RNAcentral describes it as "partial 16S ribosomal RNA". It matches the Rfam family "Bacterial small subunit ribosomal RNA", at positions 524 to 776 of the family's 1533-position model. The record is from RNAcentral.
UACGUAGGGGGCUAGCGUUGUCCGGAAUCAUUGGGCGUAAAGCGCAUGUAGGCGGUCCGGUAAGUCCGCUGUGAAAGUCGAGGGCUCAACCCUCGAAUGCCGGUGGAUACUGUCGGGCUAGAGUACGGAAGAGGCGAGUGGAAUUCCUGGUGUAGCGGUGAAAUGCGCAGAUAUCAGGAGGAACACCAAUUGCGAAGGCAGCUCGCUGGGACGUUACUGACGCUGAGGAGCGAAAGCGUGGGGAGCGAACAGG